UCGAACGAUGACUUUUGUGCUUGCACGAAUGAUUACUGGCGAACGUAUGAGUAACACGUGAGUAACCUGCCCCUGACUCUGGGAUAAGCCUGGGAAACUGGGUCUAAUACUGGAUAUGCACCGUAGACCGCAUGGUUUUUGGUGGAAAGAAUUUUGGUCAGGGAUGGACUCGCGGCCUAUCAGCUUGUUGGUGAGGUAAUGGCUCACCAAGGCGACGACGGGUAGCCGGCCUGAGAGGGUGACCGGCCACACUGGGACUGAGACACGGCCCAGACUCCUACGGGAGGCAGCAGUGGGGAAUAUUGCACAAUGGGCGAAAGCCUGAUGCAGCGACGCCGCGUGAGGGAUGACGGCCUUCGGGUUGUAAACCUCUUUCAGUAGGGAAGAAGCGAAAGUGACGGUACCUGCAGAAGAAGCGCCGGCUAACUACGUGCCAGCAGCCGCGGUAAUACGUAGGGCGCAAGCGUUAUCCGGAAUUAUUGGGCGUAAAGAGCUCGUAGGCGGUUUGUCGCGUCUGCCGUGAAAGUCCGAGGCUCAACUUCGGAUCUGCGGUGGGUACGGGCAGACUAGAGUGAUGUAGGGGAGACUGGAAUUCCUGGUGUAGCGGUGAAAUGCGCAGAUAUCAGGAGGAACACCGAUGGCGAAGGCAGGUCUCUGGGCAUCUACUGACGCUGAGGAGCGAAAGCAUGGGGAGCGAACAGGAUUAGAUACCCUGGUAGUCCAUGCCGUAAACGUUGGGCACUAGG
RNAcentral lists this ribosomal RNA (746 nucleotides) under Arthrobacter sp. PF112. RNAcentral describes it as "bacterial SSU rRNA". It matches the Rfam family "Bacterial small subunit ribosomal RNA", at positions 62 to 820 of the family's 1533-position model. Lineage: Bacteria; Bacillati; Actinomycetota; Actinomycetes; Micrococcales; Micrococcaceae. The record is from RNAcentral.